Molecule: ribosomal RNA, 497 nt
Filed under: uncultured bacterium
Lineage: Bacteria
Description: bacterial SSU rRNA
Rfam family: Bacterial small subunit ribosomal RNA
Source: RNAcentral
ACUCAAAGGAAUUGACGGGGGCCCGCACAAGCGGCGGAGCAUGUGGCUUAAUUCGAUGCAACGCGAAGAACCUUACCUGGGUUUGACAUGCAGGGAAAUCUCGUAGAGAUACGGGGUCCGCAAGGGCCUUGCACAGGUGGUGCAUGGCUGUCGUCAGCUCGUGUCGUGAGAUGUUGGGUUAAGUCCCGCAACGAGCGCAACCCUCGUCCUAUGUUGCCAGCGAAUAAUGUCGGGGACUCAUAGGAGACUGCCGGGGUCAACUCGGAGGAAGGUGGGGAUGACGUCAAGUCAUCAUGCCCCUUAUAUCCAGGGCUGCACACAUGCUACAAUGGCCGGUACAAAGGGCUGCGAUACCGCAAGGUGGAGCGAAUCCCAUAAAGCCGGUCUCAGUUCGGAUUGGGGUCUGCAACUCGACCCCAUGAAGUCGGAGUCGCUAGUAAUCGCAGAUCAGCAACGCUGCGGUGAAUACGUUCCCGGGCCUUGUACACACCGCCCGU